Molecule: long non-coding RNA, 1195 nt
Organism: Otolemur garnettii (small-eared galago)
Lineage: Eukaryota; Metazoa; Chordata; Mammalia; Primates; Galagidae
Exons: 4
Source: RefSeq, a predicted model, not a curated record
AGCGAAUGCUCAGUGCGUUCGUACGUACGUAGACCAUGACCGGGCAGACGCAGUUUCAGCACCAGUGUCCAGAGUUACUAUAUCCAGUUUUCAAGUAAGAAGUAUGAGACUUGGAAAGAAACAGGGAUGUUAGUGAGAAGAGCACGAUGAUGUCACAUUUUUGCAAACCUCUUUGACGCCUGGCUUUAUAGGAGUGAGCUGGAAAUUCAAGAGCUUGUGCUCCAUCCAAUGUCAAGGUGUCUCUUUAAAUCUCCAUUCUUCCCUCAGGAGCUGAGGAGUGUGAGAAACACAGCUCCUGGGCAGGAAAAGAACAUACUCUCUGCCCCUUCUACUGCUGGCAUUGUCACCAACAGCAAGUUUACCCAACUGAACUGGAUGGAGUGACAUCUGGAGAUGGCAGGGACAGUAGCUGCUUUUAGGGCAAAGGUCAUCCACCAACUUUAUCCUCAGGCCCACACCCUUUCCAGGACCUUCCAUGGUCUCCACUCAGGGCUGUUUCUACAAUGACUAGAAGCUCAGCCCUCUUCCAUGAGUUGGAAGAAAUCCUCAUGGUGACCCAUGUGCAGCUACAUCACCUCUUUCAGAGACAGCAUCAGGACCAAGGAACUCACUGUGAAAGCUGGUGGGAGUUUGGACAAGCCCCCAGGAUGGUGGAGAAACACUUCCUCUGAGACCCUUCCUGUCUGUGCUGGGAGGGUUUGCAGCAGGCUCAAAGUCUCUGUGCUCAAUGCAGUGGAGAUUGUGCUGUGCGAGGAAGUGGACUCAAGUACGGGAGAGGGUGAAGACAGGCAUGGGCAGCUGGACAGAGCUCUCCCUGGACACCUUAGGACCAGCUGGCACUAGGCAUCUAGACCAGCGGUUCUCAACCUGUGGGUCGCAACCCACAGGAACUAUAUUAAAGGGCCACAGCAUUAGGAAGUUUGAGAACCACUGAUCUAGACAGAGCCUUCUGCCUGGUCACCUGACGACCUGCUGGAGAGGAUCCUGCAUGAGACUCAGUUAAAAUGAGGGGAGAGGAGUCAGUCACCUCACAAGGAGCAGCGGGUGCUGGGGACACCAGCCUGUCUUGGUAAAGCCCUGGAUCUGAACCACCCUCACUACCUUGGGGCUCAACUCUUCCCCCUAACCUGCUUCCUCUGGUGAAGCCCAGAGCAGUUCACUGUGGCCUUCACGUUUUCUCCCCACAUGGGCCGGC